UGGGGAAUUUUGCACAAUGGGCGCAAGCCUUAUGCAGCGACGCCGCGUGAGGGAUGAAGGCCUUCGGGUUGUAAACCUUUUUCGCUCAUGGUCAAGCCGCAGCUUUGGGUUGUGGUGAGGGUAGUGGGUAAAGAAGCGCCGGCUAACUACGUGCCAGCAGCCGCGGUAAUACGUAGGGCGCGAGCGUUGUCCGGAAUUAUUGGGCGUAAAGGGCUUGUAGGCGGUUGGCCGCGUCUGCCGUGAAAUCCUCUGGCUUAACUGGGGGCGUGCGGUGGGUACGGGUUGACUUGAGUGCGGUAGGGGAGACUGGAAUUCCUGGUGUAGCGGUGGAAUGCGCAGAUAUCAGGAGGAAUACCGGUGGCGAAGGCGACUUUCUGGACUUUUACUGACGCUCAGGUACGAAAGCGUGGGGAGCAAACAGG
Molecule: ribosomal RNA, 422 nt
Filed under: Verrucomicrobiota bacterium
Lineage: Bacteria; Pseudomonadati; Verrucomicrobiota
Description: Verrucomicrobia bacterium partial 16S ribosomal RNA
Rfam family: Bacterial small subunit ribosomal RNA
Source: RNAcentral